AGGGCAGCCCAGGCCCGCGCAGGCCCCGCGAAUCUCCGCGCGCCCCGGCCCCCCCGCCCCCCACGCCCCAGGCAGGCCCCGAGGGAUUGGCUCCCUGGGCCGACGGAAAACUUAGGAAGGCAGCCCCGGGCCGGGUGCAGGAGAGCAGAGCAGAAAUCCUUUGGAAUCUUGGAACCUAUUUCCAAAGCUUUAUAAUGCACACCAAAAAAAAUCUGACACUAAAGGGUUUGAUAUGAUUAGCUGAAGAACCUGCUUGGAACGGCUCCCUUCCACAUAGUAAGACUAAGUGUGAUCUUGUUCUUGCUUUAAUGAAGAAAUAGCAUGAUAAUGCAGCAAACACAAAAAGCACAUAGUGUUUUUCAGUAUCACCCUUGCAAAAAUCAAUUUUUUUCCUAGUUCUUAUACAUACAGCAUAAAUUGCACAGAAAUGUCAUGAUGGUAUAGAUACUGUUCUGAAUCUUGCUUUUUACUUUUAAUCACAGGCCUAUCAUUUUUUUCCCAUAUUGCCACAUAAUUUUUAAAAUUUUACUUUUUAAUGGCUGUAUAAUAAUUUAAUGGGUAUAUUAUACGAAAGCAUUUGGCUAUCAUUGGAAAUUUUAGUUGUUACUUAUACAGCAAUGAAUGUCAAUGCAAAUAGCCUUUCCUUUAUUAUUCCAUGAUGAUGCAUUCUGAUGUUUGGGAUUCCUAGGUCAAAGAAUAAGGAAAUUUAAAGGAUCAUAAUAUGAAUUGCUAAAUAACUUCCCAAAAUAUUGUGCUGAUUUGCAAUAUCAGCAACAAUGUGCAUUAGCUUCACUGGAUUAUGCCAGCACUGAACAUUGUUUUUGGAAUUUUAUUGGCUGACUUUAUAGGUAUGAAAUAUUGCUUCAUUGUUUUAACAUAAAUUUAAUUGAUAAUUA
Molecule: long non-coding RNA, 896 nt
Filed under: Sus scrofa (pig)
Lineage: Eukaryota; Metazoa; Chordata; Mammalia; Artiodactyla; Suidae
Description: lncRNA (ENSSSCG00070020747.1)
Source: RNAcentral